This 30-nucleotide non-coding RNA is filed under the name Homo sapiens (human). Lineage: Eukaryota; Metazoa; Chordata; Mammalia; Primates; Hominidae. The record is from RNAcentral.
UACGACAACAAAAAGUCUUGGUGCACACAC